GGCACAAAUGAUGAUCUGCCAAGGGACUUAAUGCUGACGCCUGAUGGAUCCUCACUGCAGGCUGAUGUGC
Molecule: small nucleolar RNA, 70 nt
Organism: Sarcophilus harrisii (Tasmanian devil)
Lineage: Eukaryota; Metazoa; Chordata; Mammalia; Dasyuromorphia; Dasyuridae
Gene: SNORD82
Rfam family: Small nucleolar RNA SNORD82
About the family: snoRNA U82 or Z25 is found in both humans and mice. U82/Z25 is a member of the C/D class of snoRNA which contain C (UGAUGA) and D (CUGA) box motifs.
Source: Ensembl